RNAcentral lists this unclassified non-coding RNA (380 nucleotides) under Hevea brasiliensis (rubber tree). Lineage: Eukaryota; Viridiplantae; Streptophyta; Magnoliopsida; Malpighiales; Euphorbiaceae. The record is from RNAcentral.
GAGGGGGAUGAAGACGAGGAAGACGAAGACGAAGAGGACGGCGAGGGUAGUGAUUAUGGGGAGGAUGCUUUUGAUGCUAUGGACCAGGGUCUCGAUCCGGCGGACUUUGAAAGUGAUGAGGCCUAUGCGAGGGCCCUGCAAGAGGCUGAGGGGAAUGAUUUGGCUGCGCGAUUGAUGGCUCUUGCCGGCUUGAACGGAUGGGGUGCGGCGAAUCAUGGGAAUCACGGCGGUAUUGAUCAGGAUGCCUGGGAAGAUGUUGAUCCAGAUGAGUUGUCAUACGAGGAAUUGAUUGCACUGGGGGAGGUAGUUGGCACAGAGAACAGAGGGCUUUCUACUGAUUCUAUUGCAUCAUUACCUUCAGUUAAAUACAAGGCACAAAG